CCCUCCGAAGUUUCCCUCAGGAUAGCUGGAACUUAUGAGAAAGUAGUUUUAUCAGGUAAAGCGAAUGAUUAGAGGCUUUGGGGAAGAAACUUCCUCGACCUAUUCUCAAAACUUUAAAUAGGUAAGAUUUGGAGGAUACUUAGGUGAUCUUUCAAUACAUUGAAUAUCAAGUUCUUAGUGGGCCAUUUUUGGUAAGCAGAACUGGCGAUGUGGGAUGAACCGAACGUUAAGUUAAAGUGCCAAAAUAGUACGCUCAUGAGAUACCAUAAAAGGUGUUGGUUCAUUUUGACAGCAGGACGGUGGCCAUGGAAGUCGGAACCCGCUAAGGAGUGUGUAACAACUCACCUGCCGAAUGAACUAGCCCUGAAAAUGGAUGGCGCUUAAGCGUAUAACUUAUACUUAACCCUUACUUGAAUUAUUAUAACGAGUAAGGAGUAGGAGGG
Molecule: ribosomal RNA, 443 nt
Filed under: uncultured eukaryote
Lineage: Eukaryota
Description: eukaryotic LSU rRNA
Rfam family: Eukaryotic large subunit ribosomal RNA
Source: RNAcentral